Long non-coding RNA from Gorilla gorilla gorilla (western lowland gorilla), 3584 nucleotides. RefSeq lists it as uncharacterized. NCBI's taxonomy places the organism in Eukaryota, Metazoa, Chordata, Mammalia, Primates, Hominidae. The record is from RefSeq and is a predicted model, not a curated record. The transcript is spliced from 3 exons.
CUUCAAUUUUAAUCUGGAUAACGCCAAAGCUUUUCCUCAAAUUCGCCCCUGGAGUCAGCUCAUAGAUGCUCUGAUUUUGUCUACCAUUGCUCCUCCUUAAUAUCUCUCGCACAGGUGCCAUUGACCUUUAGAUGGGCUGUACAGUGUGGGGUUCGGUGCCAUGGAUCUGCUUCUCCAGGGACCAGGAUCUUGAGAUCUUCAGGCUGGGUUUCCAUGGAGGCAUGGAGCUGCUUUUCCUCCUUCAUAACUGCACUCAAAACAGCCCUGUUGCUCUAGAAUGGAGACUUGGGCAACUCCUUCUGGCACAGAUUUGUUCACCUCAGGUGAAAUUCAGAUAGAAGCAAGCUGCAGGCAGUUUCACCUCUAAGUCCAUGGGUUCUCAACUGGUAACGUCCUCUUAUGGAUGUUAGCCCAUGAGGUCAAUCCUGUAGCAAUCUAAGGCUUGAGAAAAAUUAAUCUUCUGGAAAAUUCCAAGAAUACAUCUUAGGGAAACUGGCUCUACCUUUAUGACUUGGAUCACACAAGGAUAUGCUUCUCAUUUUGGACUAGAACUGAGAGCCAAUGGAUGUGUUUUCUAAAACUAUCCCAGUGUGUUCACUAUACAGAGGAAGAUUCUGAGAUUCAAGACUCAAGACUGAAGAAGAUCAUUAUUUUUAUUAUUUUAGUCUUAUGCACAAAAUGGUAUCUACUGAAUAAGCAGGUUUUUAAUAGGUGACUUAUAUAUGUUAGCAAAAAAAUCACUUUGUCUUUUAGAUCUAUUCUAGUUUUUCAGUAGCUGUAGACUUAAGUGCUAACUUUUAGCCCAUAGGAUAAGAAGAAACCAAGUCCUAAAAGUAGGCCAGCACCAGGAUUCAGGCCUCUGACUUCAAGCCAAGGGCUCAUCAUCUUGAAUUGCGCACGAAUUUUUACACAGCGCCAAAGGAAACUGCCUGUACUUACUGUUGUAGGUGCUUUGCUGGAUUCAGGAUGCAGACAAGGUCCACGCGCUGUGGUUGGUUCAGUCCCGGAGCAGACACAGCCCUGUUUGCAGGGAGCCAACAUUCUAAUUGACAGUGCGUGGUGGGAAACAGUGAACCGAGGGAAAGAGUGCCAAUGUUAGAGAGCCACAGUGCAGUGAAGAAGAGAAGGCAAGAGGAUGUGAUGCAAAAUCACAGGACCUGGCUUCCAGACCAUUCUGCUUCCAUGAGAACAUUUCAGUUGAGAACCGGAUGGCAUGAAAGUAAGCCAGAAGACACCAGGCAAGGAAAGACUGGUCUCCAGGUGCGAAUGACGUUGGAGCAUUUGGGACUGCAAAGAAUGUGGAGCGUGGUGAAUGAGAUGUCCCUUUGUAUCAGAUGCAUGCAUGAGUGGCUGGGGUCAUGUGUGUGCUUCAGUAGAGGGUACCACGGGGACACUAAGAAAUCUGGGUUUCUUUCUGAGGGCCUGGGAAGCCACCAGAAAGCAUUGAGUAGGGAGUGGUGGAUUGAUUUAUGUGUUUAUGAAAUCAUGCUGGGUGCUGGGUGGUGAAUGCUUAUUGGGGCAGAGGGCAAGGUUGGAAUUGCGGAGACCACAGCUAAGAGCCAGUUGCAGAGCCAGGCUCAUUGUGAUUCAACCUGGGAGGCAUUGGGGAUGAAAGCGAUGAGGCCAGUGAGGAUGUAUUUCUACAUAUAAUAUGGAUUAGGUAGAUGGGUUUAUACGUAAUGUAGAUUAGACUCAGAAAUCAAACUGGAGCCAAUGGCGGACACUUGAUGGAAGGUGUACUUCAAUUUCUUCCAUUCUAUAGAAAAGCAAUACAGUGGAAAGAGUAUGGGAUUUGGUGUCUCUCAGACAGGAUUCCACUUGCAAGCCGUGUGAUAUGGGGCAGCUCACCAGAUCCUGGACCUCCAUAAACCCCUCUGCAACGUGGAGAGAAUCAGAUUUCCCCACAGACUCCAUGAAGGGCUCCAGAGUGCCCUCCCCCGUUAGCCACUGAUGCAUUCAUGAGGAAGAGAAAGAGUUAAAUGCUCCUUUCGAGGAAGCGGUGGUGGCCGAGUGCUAUGGGCGCUGUGAGAUCAGAGCUGACAGCCCAGACUGAAUCGCAGCCCUCACCAGGGCCAUCGCGUGUUGCAGGGAGCUCUUCCCAAGUGCCCACUUUUACUAAAUUACAGAAAAUACCUAACAGGAUAGUUUCUUCGUGUUUUAAAAAUCAAUGACCAAUUUUUGUUUUGUUUUGUUUUUAAAAUACAGUGUUUUCAGAGAUAAGAGUAUUACAUUGGAAACCUGCUGUGACACAGAAAAUUAGAUGAGCCUGUAGUUGAUUAAAACAGUCAAGUUGACCUACGUGUCAUCUCAGUGCACAGUAAGGAAGCGUCUUCAGCUUAGAAAAUUGCUGGGAUGAACACAAACAAAUCUAGUUCUUUGGAACGAGAAUUUUCAGAUUUUGGAUUUAUGGUCAGAAAUAGCUGAGUCCCAGGGCCAGGAGCGGUGGCUCAUGCCUGUAAUCCCAGCACUUUGGGAGGCCAAGGCAGAUGGAUCGCCUGAGAUCAGGAGUUCGAGACCAGCCUGGCCAACAUAGUGAAACCCUGUCUGUACUAAAAAUACAAACUUUAGCUGAGCGAGGUGGCGAACACCUGUAAUCCCAGCUACUUGGGAGGCUGAGGCAGGAGAAUCAACUGAACCCAGGAGAUGGAGGUUUCAGUGAGCUGAGAUCACACCAUUGUACUCCAGCCUGGGCAACAAGAGCGAAACUCUGUCUCAAAAAAAAGAAAAGAAAAAAGAAAAAAACUGCUGAGUCCUGAAAUACUGAUGAAAUGACCAGCCCUGUUCACGUUCAAAACCUGACACUUUUAGUGUCAGGGUGACCAGGAAUUGUGGCUGUAAAGGAAGCCUGAGACUUCUCUGGUUCUGGCAUGAAAGAAUUUUCCAAAACUAUGUAGACGCUGGGGCCUUAGAAGUUUGAUAUUAGUGUAAACAAAUGUAUUCUCAACAAGAAUAUAGAUGAGUUUGCACUGAAUUUCAGAAUACUUAACUCCAGGCUUAUAAGAGAUUAAAUAAUUCUUUAAAAUGGAUUCUCAGGCGCUUUAUUUAUGCUACUCAUGGGAGCUACACUGGCAAGGGAGGUCACAGUUUCUGACGUGCCUUUUUUCUAAACUUCUGACUUUGUUUGUACACAUGCAGAACAUGUAUUUAACUAUUGGGAUCCCAAUCCUCUAUAUUGGGGGAUUUUUCUUUAUAUUUUUUACCUUUUGAUAAAGUAGAUCUUUAGAAAUCAGAAUUCCUGAGUUUCCAGCACUGUCAAAUUUGGGUUCUUGGGAAUGCUGAGGUUUAACCUUGACUCUUUCAAAUGAAUGCUGGUGAACUUGUCUAAACUCCUGUUCCCGUCAUUCAGUUUCUCCCUCUGUGAAGCAGAGGCAAUGGCACUCCCUCCUUUUAAAAUCCUUAAGGUUUGGGAAAGGUUUUCAGAGUAGUCAAAUAAUUUAAUACCCUUAGGUAAAAUGUGCUCUCAAAUUGUAUUUCUACCCAUGGAAAUGAAGAUUAGUCUCUUCAUUUUUUUUGUUAGAAUGGCCACUGGGAGAUUCUGCUAAAAUAAAAGAUUUUUUUUUUUUUUAAUAGUGCUGUUCAGGGGU